AUGAACUCUUAGAUUGUCGCUGGUCAAGUUAAUUCUUGGCAUCGUGCACAUCUUUGUUAUCCAACUACACACACUUGUGAACCUAUUGUAGAUCGCAAGAUCUAUGUCUUUCAUCACUUCUUAAACGUAUGUCUCAGAAUGUAAACCAAAUUAUUA
Molecule: unclassified non-coding RNA, 156 nt
Filed under: uncultured fungus
Lineage: Eukaryota; Fungi
Also listed under: 1 other name
Description: sequence contains ITS1, 5.8S rRNA gene
Source: RNAcentral